Long non-coding RNA from Girardinichthys multiradiatus, 541 nucleotides. RefSeq lists it as uncharacterized. The transcript has 3 exons. NCBI's taxonomy places the organism in Eukaryota, Metazoa, Chordata, Actinopteri, Cyprinodontiformes, Goodeidae. The record is from RefSeq and is a predicted model, not a curated record.
CUCAAGACAGACAUUUUUUGCACCGUUCAUCAAUACUUUUUGUAAAACGAUCGGCUAUUUGGAGGACAUUAGGCUUCCUGAACGUUUGCCAGAAACUAAAGCGAUAAACUUUCAAGAUGGCAAAUAUUCUGCCGACCUUCUCCAGAAGAAGGAAUAUUCCAAGGCAACCCGUCCCUGCAAAACAUUUGUAGCUCCCUCUGUUCCUGAAGCCUCCUCUCCUGGGACCUCUGUUCCUUGACCAUCCACCUCUCAGGUUUUUUGGGAAAUACCCAUUGAGCUUAUUGGUCAUUUGUAUUUAAAAGAAGUGACAAUGGGAAAUGAAAUGGAUAAAAAAUUCAACAUUUCUGGAGAUUUAAGUGGGAACACAGCAAAGAAUGCCUCUCUGAUAUUCAGCGCAGCAGAAAAGACGCACAUUGCUGUUUAUUACUGUGCAGCACGAGAAGCUCACUAACAGAGAUCCUGUUUGUGUUUCACAAAAACUGCACUCAGUUUUUCCUCAUCAUCAGUGGUUUGCAAAAAGAGAGGAAAUAGCUUUGAAGCA